Molecule: long non-coding RNA, 2374 nt
Filed under: Zea mays
Lineage: Eukaryota; Viridiplantae; Streptophyta; Magnoliopsida; Poales; Poaceae
Description: long non-coding RNA (ZMAY_LNC001062)
Source: RNAcentral
UGGCCGGACACCCCCCGUUACCUAGUCGCCCUCCCGGAGUCUCUCACGGAAGCCGGUGAAGUGCAGACGUGGGGAAGAAGUUCACUGCGUCGCGUCUUGGUCAAAGACCGGGUUUGGGAAGCCAUAGCACCUCGAGUGUGUGUCGCGCAAGUUGGUGUCGUGGCUGGGCGUGGUCGGAACCGAGAACCGGAGCUCGGCGUUACCUCGGCUUUGUCCCGCGCGAGGGGGAUUGGCUCCAGUACCGCACCACCGCAGGUAUGGCCACUUCUGUCGUCUUCGUUGACCAGUCCUUGACGUAUGGUGAGCCGCGGGAGAGGGAAUUAUACAUCUGCGGGUUUUGAAUUGCUCGUCAGAGCCAAUUGACUCUGUGGCACCGAGCCACGCCGUGGGCAGGGUAGUGCCAUCACUCAAACAUUAAAUCGGGGGUCUCGUCUGUUUCGCCUUGCGUCAGGCUGUGUUUUUAGCCACCGGCCGCGGGUGCAGGCGUCGGUGGGUAUCGAAUCGAGGAACGCUAGUGUGGUCAUCGCCAUGAACACGGUGGCGCGGUCGUGCUUGAGGUUGGGCAUGGGUAGCGCGGCAUCCGACCGUCGAUCUGAAAGCAUGUGGCUACGAUUAGAACGAAGAUAACCCUUCGAUGCUUGUGAUCCUAGCCACUGGUGGGUGAUCUCGGGGUGGAGAUUCAAUCAUCGCGUCGGCGUAUUGUGGGCUGUACAAUUUGGAUCCAAGGAUCCGUAUCACGCACCGGUCGACUCAGUUAUGUGAUCUAAUCUCACCCAUGAAGAUCUGAUCGGGCGACUCUAGUGCGCCAGUACCCCUUCGGUGUGGGCGAACUUGUAAAAGAGACCCUGAGAAAUUGGCUAAUUAACCCGCAGUCUAGCACAAGGAGUUCUCAGUCUUAUGAUGUUUUACGCAGAGGCCCCUACACUUCCUGAAUAUAGUAAGCGCAAUCCAUACAUUUAAUAAAACAGAGAAAUUGGUUUAGAAAAUGAUUUUUAGUACACAACUAAUUGCAAAAACUUGUUUAAUUCCUAGAAAAUUCAUUUUAGCUCCUUUUUAAUCCAUUCCAGUUCCUAUAAUUUUGUAUUAAUAUUGUUUAUCACUUAAUAACAUUGUUUUAGCAUGAAACCCAUAUUAAGUUUGAUCACUUAAUUAAUCUUGUACCAAACACAUAAAACCUUCGGAAAUUCAAAACUCGAAAUCCGUAACUCUGAAUGUAGUGAUUCUUUUUCCUAUGAUCUCGUUACAACACAUAGAUUAUUAUUAUGUAUUCUGUAUUCAUGUUUGGUGUGAUGUUAUUUUAUCCCUCGUACCAUGUUUGUUUGCAUUAUGACGAGUAGACGAGCCAGUGGCCGAGGAUCCAGGUGUUCAGCAGGUAGAAGUUGCUGAGCAGGAGCUCAUUGAAGGCAUGUUGUGCCCUUGACCACUUUAUUUACCCAAUAAUGUUCUCUAUAAUCAUUUUAUCAUGAAUAGGCUUAAUUUUGAUGGGACCCAAUAGGCCACCCUAGUCUGGUUAUCUUUAUACCUUGUUUAACCCUGAAUUUUUUGGUAGUCCUUGCUAUUGCUAUAUAUGGUUUUGAGUGUUGAGACAACUAUUACACAUGAUCACUCUUUAUUACUGUUCUAUUUCUAUUCAUGAUAAGACAACUAUGUUAAUUGGAACAUCGAUCUUAACUUGAGAAACACGUGCCACCACAAGGGUGGAAUGGGACGCCCUUGGCUGACUAACUAGGAAAGCUAGUGGAGGACUACCUUUCCCAAAAGGGGCAAGGGCAGUAGGGGAGUAGGCGUGUAGGGAGGUUCCGGGGUUGAUUUUGCUCCGAUGGCGGUCAGACGGGGGAUUCCUGCAUUGCUCUUCCUAGAAACUGUAGCGGGUUUUCUGAAGCUAGUGGAACUUUGUAAAAGCCUUGUAGUGGAUCCCUAGCUAUUCACCUCGGAAGUGUCUAAGGGUCUAGCUAACACUGGCUAGAUGGGAUACACGACUUGUGGGUACUGGGUACGACCUCUGCAGAGUGUAAAACUGGUAUACUAGCCAUGCUCGCGGUAAUGAGCCGCUCAAUACUCUUGCAUGAUUAAUUUAUGGAAUUAAAUUCAAUUUAUCAUUUGCAUCGCAUUGGGAUUUAUUAUUAAUUCUGAUCUACUAUUACUCUGGUUUGGUUCUACUUACAUUUAGUAACUACUAAUAAAAUUUGACCAACUUAUUAAAAGCAAUGCUCAACUUUAACCCUUAUUUAUUGGUCAGCCUUACUCUUCACAUGAACUCCCACCUUUGGUAAGUUCAUGCACGUUAUUCCCCACAACUUGUUGAGCUAUGAUCUUUUGUGAGAUCACCCUUGCGAGAUAUAACCCCCCACAGGAGAAGAACAUGUGAUCUAGG